RNAcentral lists this ribosomal RNA (441 nucleotides) under Pseudomonas sp. D4. RNAcentral's name for it is "bacterial SSU rRNA". It matches the Rfam family "Bacterial small subunit ribosomal RNA", at positions 53 to 489 of the family's 1533-position model. The record is from RNAcentral. Lineage: Bacteria; Pseudomonadati; Pseudomonadota; Gammaproteobacteria; Pseudomonadales; Pseudomonadaceae.
ACAUGCAAGUCGAGCGGUAGAGAGAAGCUUGCUUCUCUUGAGAGCGGCGGACGGGUGAGUAAUGCCUAGGAAUCUGCCUGGUAGUGGGGGAUAACGUUCGGAAACGGACGCUAAUACCGCAUACGUCCUACGGGAGAAAGCAGGGGACCUUCGGGCCUUGCGCUAUCAGAUGAGCCUAGGUCGGAUUAGCUAGUUGGUGAGGUAAUGGCUCACCAAGGCGACGAUCCGUAACUGGUCUGAGAGGAUGAUCAGUCACACUGGAACUGAGACACGGUCCAGACUCCUACGGGAGGCAGCAGUGGGGAAUAUUGGACAAUGGGCGAAAGCCUGAUCCAGCCAUGCCGCGUGUGUGAAGAAGGUCUUCGGAUUGUAAAGCACUUUAAGUUGGGAGGAAGNGCAGUUACCUAAUACGUGAUUGUUUUGACGUUACCGACAGAAUAA